UGGGGAAUUUUGGACAAUGGGCGAAAGCCUGAUCCAGCAAUGCCGCGUGAGUGAAGAAGGCCUUCGGGUUGUAAAGCUCUUUUGUCAGGGAAGAAACGGUGAAAGCUAAUAUCUUUUGCUAAUGACGGUACCUGAAGAAUAAGCACCGGCUAACUACGUGCCAGCAGCCGCGGUAAUACGUAGGGUGCAAGCGUUAAUCGGAAUUACUGGGCGUAAAGCGUGCGCAGGCGGUUUUGUAAGUCUGAUGUGAAAUCCCCGGGCUCAACCUGGGAAUUGCAUUGGAGACUGCAAGGCUAGAAUUUGGCAGAGGGGGGUAGAAUUCCACGUGUAGCAGUGAAAUGCGUAGAUAUGUGGAGGAACACCGAUGGCGAAGGCAGCCCCCUGGGUCAAGAUUGACGCUCAUGCACGAAAGCGUGGGGAGCAAAACAGGAUUAGAUACCCUGGUAGUCCACGCCCUAAACGAUGUCUACUAGUUGUCGGGUCUUAAUUGACUUGGUAACGCAGCUAACGCGUGAAGUAGACCGCCUGGGGAGUACGUCGCAAGAUUAAAACUCAAAGGAAUU
RNAcentral lists this ribosomal RNA (563 nucleotides) under uncultured bacterium. RNAcentral describes it as "partial 16S ribosomal RNA". It matches the Rfam family "Bacterial small subunit ribosomal RNA", at positions 355 to 911 of the family's 1533-position model. The record is from RNAcentral.